GUCUUUUGGCUUUGAGGGGUCCGGAUAGCAUUUGUCUUGUGAUUUCCUAGUAUCAUUGGCUUGCAUAAUAAUUUUUUGAUAGAAAAAAUAAAAUAAAACAAAAAUUAAAUAUUAGACUAAUAAAUAAAUAAAUAACCAACUAAAAAUAAAAAUUGCAAAUAAAACGAACAUAAGACAUAUAUAGAUAAAAGUAGAAAUAUCAAUGUAUAGACGUAAUUUAUAUAAUAUUCCAAAUGCGA
Molecule: long non-coding RNA, 239 nt
Filed under: Lathyrus oleraceus (garden pea)
Lineage: Eukaryota; Viridiplantae; Streptophyta; Magnoliopsida; Fabales; Fabaceae
Description: Pisum sativum (pea) long non-coding RNA (PSAT_LNC036726)
Source: RNAcentral